GAUGAAGAACGCAGCGAAAUGCGAUACUUGGUGUGAAUUGCAGAAUCCCGUGAACCAUCGAGUCUUUGAACGCAAGUUGUGCCCGAAGCCACUAGGCCGAGGGCACGCCUGCCUGGGUGUCACACGUCGUUGCCCCCCCCCCAUCUACUCCUUCGGGAUUGCGGGGGGCGGAUGAUGGCCUCCCGUGCGCCUAGCCGCGCGGUUGGCAUAAAUACCAAGUCCUCGGCGACGCACGCCACGACAAUCGGUGGUUGCGAAACCUCGGUUGCCCGUCGUGUGCGUUCGUCGCGCAUCGAGGGCUCGAAAAAAUGCUCGGCUCCGGCUCGGCUUUCAACGCGACCCCAGGUCAGGCGGGGUUACCCGCUGAAUUUAAGCAUAUCAAUAAGCGGAGGA
Molecule: unclassified non-coding RNA, 393 nt
Filed under: soil metagenome
Description: partial contains 5.8S ribosomal RNA, internal transcribed spacer 2, and large subunit ribosomal RNA
Rfam family: 5.8S ribosomal RNA (bases 1-122)
Source: RNAcentral